Molecule: transfer RNA, 72 nt
Filed under: Buceros rhinoceros (Rhinoceros hornbill)
Lineage: Eukaryota; Metazoa; Chordata; Aves; Bucerotiformes; Bucerotidae
Description: tRNA-Phe
Source: RNAcentral
CUGUAGCUUACACCAACUAAAGCGUGGCACUGAAGAUGUCAAGACGGCUGCCCCAGCAUGCACCCGGGAACA